GCCAAGUGAUGAUCCAAGGCGAAUGUGACUCCCUUUUUCUUUGGGUUAUGAUCUCUGACCUUUGCACUUGGUCUGUAAUCUUGGUGGUUGUGUAGAAGCUUCUCGCGGCCGCUGUAAGGCCAGACCAACAGUAGCUUUUGUGGCUGGUCUCUCUGACACUUGUCAGCUCACUGCAGAUUUGGUGUGCUGAAAUCAGAGUGACCUACAGGAUCGAUCAGUACCUAGUGUGCAGGUCUAUGACAUAACUUCUUGGAGGUUAAAAGGAGGAAUGAGCACAUAUCUUUGGUAAUCUGAUGGCU
This is a small nucleolar RNA of Pelobates fuscus (common spadefoot toad), 299 nucleotides long. NCBI's taxonomy places the organism in Eukaryota, Metazoa, Chordata, Amphibia, Anura, Pelobatidae. The record is from RefSeq and is a predicted model, not a curated record.